GACGAACGCUGGCGGCGUGCUUAACACAUGCAAGUCGAACGGAAAGGCCCUGCUUGCAGGGUACUCGAGUGGCGAACGGGUGAGUAACACGUGGGUGAUCUGCCCUGCACUUCGGGAUAAGCCUGGGAAACUGGGUCUAAUACCGGAUAGGAGCCAUUUUUAGUGUGAUGGUUGGAAAGUUUUUUCGGUGUAGGAUGAGCUCGCGGCCUAUCAGCUUGUUGGUGGGGUAAUGGCCUACCAAGGCGGCGACGGGUAGCCGGCCUGAGAGGGUGGACGGCCACAUUGGGACUGAGAUACGGCCCAGACUCCUACGGGAGGCAGCAGUGGGGAAUAUUGCACAAUGGGCGCAAGCCUGAUGCAGCGACGCCGCGUGGGGGAUGACGGCCUUCGGGUUGUAAACUCCUUUCGCUAGGGACGAAGCUUUUUGUGACGGUACCUAGAUAAGAAGCACCGGCUAACAACGUG
Molecule: ribosomal RNA, 465 nt
Filed under: uncultured bacterium
Lineage: Bacteria
Description: partial 16S ribosomal RNA
Rfam family: Bacterial small subunit ribosomal RNA
Source: RNAcentral